This is a long non-coding RNA of Gallus gallus (chicken), 5738 nucleotides long. RefSeq lists it as uncharacterized. NCBI's taxonomy places the organism in Eukaryota, Metazoa, Chordata, Aves, Galliformes, Phasianidae. The transcript is spliced from 2 exons. The record is from RefSeq and is a predicted model, not a curated record.
CUUCCGGCGGGGGCGGCCGAGCUGGGGCGGGCCUCCUUCCCGCGGGCCGGCGGCGCCUCGCCCCGCUCCGGGCCGGGCCGGGCCGGGCCUGCUCCCCGCGGGGAGUAAGUGCGCAGCGCCGGGCCCGUCUGGGCCGCGAAACUGCUCCUGGAUGGAGCAGCCGGUCUGUCUCAUUCGAAGUCGAGACUGCAGGACUGCUUUCUCGGAAAGCUUUCGAGAUAGGUUUUGAUAAACGUUCUCUGAAGCACCCAAAUCGUGUCCAAAAGAAGGUCAUUAUUUCUUAUCAGACGUAUCUCAUCUUUUCCCUUAAAUACACUUCACAUAGCGCAGGUUUUUGGAAAAAUAAUUGCUCCUGGGAGAACGUGAUGAUAAACUGCAAUUGUGUGCCCAGCUUUGGCAGCCGCCCCGAAGAUGAGGUGUGCUGUGAUGGACUCACACUUCACACCACAAAUAACAGCCAGCCCUUCCUGUGCCGCUCCUGAUCUGUGGCGUUUUUCUCCGUGUGAGAUGAAAAACCAAAAACUUGAUAGAUAACAUCAGAGAGACAGAACGGCGGUAACGCACAUUGUCGCGCUGGUUUGGUGUCAAAGCUCUACAGCCACCACUACAGAUCAGAAAGCAGUUCCACGAUGAGAAAAGAUCGCUUUUGGAUACCUCACCCCGCAGUCACGGGGGAUUUCGGGAGCUGAGGGUAAGUCCCCAAAACCAGGCACAGCAGAGCAGGUUGGCUUCCAUCUCAUACCUUAGGGAAGGUUUUUAUUGCCCGGGGUGAACCAAGAGGGGGUGCACACUACAAAGCCGUUCUGCAUUUCCAUUACAAACUUCUGUUUUAAAAAUGAAUAAUUUGUCCACUAAAGUUUACCUUUGCCAUACAAAUACUUUGUCCUUAGAAGUAGUAAAAAUGGUACUGCGGUUUUAGGGGGGAAAAAAAAAAAAAGAACUUAGACAUGAAAAAACUCAGACACGUUCUGCUAAGUAGGAUUCCAUCCUUCCACUGCAAAGAGAGUACCUAUCUAAAUGCAAUAUGGACCAAAAAAUAAUUAUAAUUAAUAAAUCAAAACCAAUGCUCCAAAGGCUCAUGGAAUUGAGAUUAAAGAGCCCUGAAUCACACCAGAAUACUGAUUGAAAAAUUUUCCAUAUUUGAAAAUUAUGGUUAUCUUGUCCGUUACCUGCAACCAUGACACAGCUGCCAUAAAAUGACCACAACAGUACCUAUCACAGGUACAGCCACUGCACACACGCUUCUGACUUCCCUAUGCUUUGAAGAGCUGUGCAGUCAGUCUCACAGCAAGAAGCAUGUAAAGCAAGCAACAGAUACGGUCUGGUUUUUGGGUGGUGCUGCAUGGAGCCAGGAGUCAGGCUCAAUGAUGGGUCCCUUGCAGGUCACUUCCAACUCAAAAUAUGAACAGAUGCUGCUGACAGAGAUUCACUGGAAUACGGAUGAAGAGUAGGCACCCCAAUUUAACAGUUUUUUUUUUUUUUACUAAAGCACUAACUGAAAGAAAUCACGUGGUCUACAGGUAACAUGCCAUUCUUUCUCUUGCUAAACAUUGCACAAGGAUGAAUUUGGACUCAGGUAGGUAUGCUGCUAUUUAAACUAAACCAUAGUGAAUGUGAGCCUUAGAUCAACAACAUCCUUAAGGGGUUUCAGCAGUCAAGACAGUAUACUGUUUACAUUACUAACAUAAGGAAAGUGCAGCUCACAUUGAGAAGGGAGAAAUGAAGAGUCAUCCCCGUGGUUAAUUACAAUUAAGACAACAACACAAUGAGACUCCAGUUAAAUACAUAUAUAGCAGAAUGAGCAACUGGUAUGGGUGGAAAAACCACCUAGAGGUAAAGCUCUGCAGCAAACCAGACUGAAGUUGCAGUGCAGUAUAGCAGGAAAACUCAAAGGUGCCCUCUCCUCUGCGUGCCUUGUUUGUGUGGCAGCUAUGGGGACAGCGUGCCCCAGAGAACCAGGAGGACAGACUGUCUGCUUAAAGGUAACUGGACCUCCUGGUGCAGCUUAUGGAAAGAUCACAUCAUGUAGUCGGUUUUUAAGCUCAGGGAAAAGUACUUCGGGCGUAUCAGUUAUGAAAGCAAAUAAGUGAGAGGAAACCACAGAAGUGAGACCGAGCUAUGCAAGAGUCGUUCUAUCCCUGCCUUUUUUGAGGAAGUUAUUCAAUGUUUUAUGGUAAAAAAUUGAAAUAAAACAAGUCAAACCACAUGUAACAUAAGGAGUAAUCAGCGGCUGCCAUUUUGCAGACAGUUGGUCACUUCAGCUGCAGCUGAGACAGAGCUUCUAUAGCUCCUUCUAUUGCAAACAACUUCCAGCUCAAAGCAAAACAGUCUGUGAAGCAAACACUGAAGAAAUGCAAAGGGUUUCUGUGUUGUGACAGAAGUUUGGGCCCAACAGUUCCCAGGCUUACGGAAAGGUCCCAGAAAUGUCAACGUGUACUUCUCCAAGGAAUGUCCAAGGAAGGCAGGCCUCCCAGAGCCACCACACCAGCACCAGUGAGCGUUUGGGGGUAGAAACAAAGAAGAGCAAGCAGAUGGGCCUGAUACAAAUGUUUCAGGUGGGGGCAAGGAAGCAGACCGAACAAACUGAACUGCAGUGGACUUCACACGCCCGGCUUUUUUCAGCUCUAAGAAAUGUACCCAGUUCAGAUCCGUGCUCCCUCCCUCCCACCAAACUUUGACUUAAGCAAGUCAAACAAAGAGACUUUGUUCAAUACAGAACCAUGUUCGUAGGCAGAGCUAUGACAGAUUGCAGCAAGAUAAGCACAGCAGAGGGCGCAGCUGAAGCGCUGAGACAAAUUCACUUCAUAAAUCUGCAGCGGGUAAGAGAGGCCUCGCUGCUUUCUCAGGAUCUCUCUGCAGUAGGGCCUUACGAAACACACAGGCAGGAAUCCCCCACAGACCUUGCCAACCAGUUGGCAAACCAGUUUGAGUCAGAAGUCCCUCAGCAGCUGCUCCACAGCUAAACACACUGAUCUUGCCAGUUAGGAGGCAGCACAGGUGUUGCACACUUGGGUUGUUUCUCAUAUCUCUGACCAACUUGUGAGAAAUGAGCAGCAGAGUGUAAAAUGUUCUCCUCCCACAGCACGCACACAGCAGCCACGCUGACAGAGCAGGAGGGGAACACGGCGUUAUACCUUACUUAGGAAUGCUCACGCGCUGUGUAAGCGGUGUGAUAAUUAAAUUGUUAGUCACGUUGACAAGUGGGUGGAAGAGGCUGAAAACCUCUGAUGCAGUUUGCCACAGGCAAUUAUAGAUUUACUAGCGAUGCAUCUGUCACACACAAAAGAUGGGCUUGGACCCAAGUAUCUGCAGUAGCUCAACUUUAACCCACUUCCCAGAAGUAAAAUGGAAUGAACAGACUGCUCUGCAUCCACAGCACAGCACAGACCCACCUCCAACCUACCGCAUGGGAACAGCUGUACAAUUUCACAUACUCAAGUAUUCAUCCAAGCAAGAACUUGUAGACAUUAAUCCUUAUCCAAAGAUCUGGGAAUUUCCGCUCUUGAAAUUCUGAUAUUACCACCUAGUUAUGUAGAACUUGCAAGGCCUCAGCUCUGCCAUGUGACAUCUCACUUGGUCACUGCACGACAAAAGGAUCACUGGCCCAGCAGAAGUGAUCUGACAGCAGAAGCAAGUAAAUACCUAAUCACUCCCUUCGCUAAGCGUCUGUCACUCACAAGGACUAACCCAUCUGCCUGACAAUUUCAACUUUCCUCUCAAGCACAAAACUGACAGUAAUUUGUCUUAACAAACCUGGGAACCGACAGUGAAAAACUGAACCUUGUGUCCUAUGGCACCAGCCCUAUUUCACUACCAGCCACGUGUGAAACAAAUUGGCAGUCUCUAGACCUCUCCAAAUAGAGGGAAGAUGAUUAGGAAGAAUGGAGGGGAAAAGGGGAAACAAAAGGUAACUUCUACUAGUAACAUCUUUUGGAAUGACCAGCAUUUGUUGUGCCAAUCCUACUCCUAGGAGAAACCCGUACACCUGGCACCCCACCACAGUCUUCAAUUCUUCAGAAAUGAACUUCUGCUGGAGAAACUGGAAGGCAUACCGGGGGUCUGUGUUCCUUCUGCUUCCUGUGACAGCUCAGCCUGUAGGAAACAGCAGUCAGUAGGAACAUGCACAGAGGACAACACACAAAGACAACUGAAGUGGAUUUUUUUUUUCCCCAAAGAAAUUUUAUUUGAGAAAAAUCAAAAAAAUCCCCCAACCAGUCAUUACAAGGUCAAUCCGUAUGAGUCCCCCACAUCUGUUCCCCAUAACCACAGCAGCACAGUGAGGAUAACGUGCAGCACUAUAAUGAUACCAUAACAGUCACCUGGGGAACGUAAGGCUUCACCACCAUUUUUGAGAAAAAGGUUAUCUUUGUAUUCUGGUAAGGAUGGGGAGAGGAUGUCAUAAUAGACAAAGACAGGGAAAGCCCCUUGUGUGUACAGUCUUUUCAACUUGUAUAAAAACAAAAAUCAAAAAACCUUAACAGAUCUACAGGCUUCAAACUGUAAGACCUAAAGCUACCUUCAAAUGACUUGUAAUUCAGUCCUGUGGCAUCGCUGCUGUCCCGCACUGUAACAGCUUUCAAAAGUGUACAAGGAUAGUGUGGAUGCAAAGGGAGAGGAGUGGACUUGGAUUCUUAAUAUGGCUUUAUUAAAAAAAAAUUAAAAGCAAUAUAAGCACUUGCCAGCAGAACUAACAACUCCAGGAUCUCAGCAAUGGCAAAGAAGUGACAAAGCACUAACUUAUUUAGAUGACUGUAGGUCAUCUUUUCAUCCUCUUUCCCAUAGCCUCACCCUGGACAACUGUUUCCCUUCUGGUAACAGAUCAGAUUCAAGUUAGAAAACAUGAAUGCUUUUUUUUUUUUUUGCUUUUUUUUCCCCCCCUUUUUAAAACAUGGUAGGCUGGGCCCAGGGCUACAAUAACCUUUUCCCAUGCCAGAAGGGUCGAGGCACCUGAGACCAGAAAGCUGUGCUGCCGAACCGUUUGCUCUGAAGGAAUGCAGAGAAGGCUUAAGAAUUUUAAUCACUGCCUAAAAUCUGCAGCAUGCAAGUCCAGGAAGUGAACCUGUCUGUUUUUCCUCAGCCUUUCUUAUUCAACACAAUUGCAUCUGGACAGCUGAGAAACUAUGAAUGGCUGCUUGCUCUCACCGUGGUACCAGAGUAGCAGUUCUGCAGAGGGCGCAGUUCAGAGACCCCUCAGAUGUAGCAUUAGCAUAUUCCUACUCUGCACUGCUUUUCAAGUUCAUUCAUGUCCUUCCAACUCCUCUGCCAACUGCAAAGCAACCCUUGCAUCCUCAGAGCUCACAGUAGGGUAUGGGCCUUUGUGCCGCACAACAGUGACAGCAGCCCACCUUGCUUUGAUGUCUCAGAAAAUGAGGUUCAGCCACCUGCCUGCAGAAUAAACAUUACACUGCUAGAUGAAAAAAGUCUCCGGCUCAAUUUAAGAUCAAGUUUCUUAGCAUAACCUGCUCCAAUUUGCUCUGUGACUGUAUCUAACUGAGGCCUCUUCUCUGCACAAAAGGCUGCCAAUGACCAUGGCUUUCAGAAAACCUGCUGCAUCAUUUUGGAACAAGAGAGGCAAAUCCAACACAAACACAUGGCCUAAGGACAGGACCAAGGCUGGACAGCCAAUGUGAGCAAAGCAGGCUUCUCCUUUCCAAGCUCAAACAUAUUACCAAGCCCUCCUUCCAAGGCUCCCCCUUCCUCCAGACUGAAUCAUCAUAUGCUUAAGUGCCUUGACCCAU